Molecule: ribosomal RNA, 437 nt
Filed under: uncultured bacterium
Lineage: Bacteria
Description: bacterial SSU rRNA
Rfam family: Bacterial small subunit ribosomal RNA
Source: RNAcentral
UCGAAGGCAGCAGUGGGGAAUAUUGCACAAUGGGCGCAAGCCUGAUGCAGCCAUGCCGCGUGUAUGAAGAAGGCCUUCGGGUUGUAAAGUACUUUCAGUCGUGAGGAAGGUGUUAAGGUUAAUAACCUUAGCAAUUGACGUUAGCGACAGAAGAAGCACCGGCUAACUCCGUGCCAGCAGCCGCGGUAAUACGGAGGGUGCGAGCGUUAAUCGGAAUUACUGGGCGUAAAGGGCACGCAGGCGGUUAAUUAAGUUGGAUGUGAAAUCCCCGGGCUUAACCUGGGAAUGGCAUUCAAGACUGGUUAGCUAGAGUCUUGUAGAGGGGGUAGAAUUCCAUGUGUAGCGGUGAAAUGCGUAGAGAUGUGGAGGAAUACCGGUGGCGAAGGCGGCCCCUGGACAAAGACUGACGCUCAUGUGCGAAAGCGUGGGGAGCAAAC